AUAAGCCAAAUGGACAUGAUAUGAUAGACUCCAUUGUUCCUCUUUUCUCGCCACAAUCCUCUCAUGUUAGGUCCAGAUUUUACUACCAUUUUCUACCUGUUACAAUAUGUCAUUCACAACUUGACAAUCCAUCACAUCAUUUGUUCUCUCAAGGCAAAUGCACAACCCACAGUGCUUUUCCAUCACCAAAACCUACUUAAUAGAG
RNAcentral lists this unclassified non-coding RNA (205 nucleotides) under Hevea brasiliensis (rubber tree). Lineage: Eukaryota; Viridiplantae; Streptophyta; Magnoliopsida; Malpighiales; Euphorbiaceae. The record is from RNAcentral.